UAAAGGGCGUUUGCGACAAAGAUCACUCAUCGUUACAGAUGGCUAAAGAACUUUAAUGUGGCUGGCCUCGUAUUACUAUAUCAGCACCAUUCAAGCCCGGCCCCCUCGUGACUAUAAACUGGAUGUGAGGCGUGGCACACUCUAUUGCCACAUCUUCUAUCGGUAUACUCUAAAAGCUUCAUCAACAUUUUCUCUACUUUACCAAAACAAGAGGAAAACUCAUUUCUGAAUCAAGCUGGUUGUGCGAGCAUCAUCAUUACCAACAAUCAAUAGAGGGAAUGGAAUCGGCAGAGAGCGGUGUUGGAGCUCAGUUAGAAGAGUUCGAAUUUGAGAAGAAAAAUAGAUGGGAUUUCAGAUUUUUGAACAAACAGAAUUGGUUUUGGCCUUUGGGAUUAGUUGUGUCGUGAAAUCAGCCAAGAAGGAGCUGUACUUUGGAGUUGGAGAUUUAAUCGCGGCGAGUGAACGACAACAACAAUAACAACAGAGAAAGGGGUUAUAGGCUGGAUUCAAGCCUAGAAAUCAUCGAGAAGAGCAAGGAGAAGAAGCUAUUCAACAACAACAGAAUGGUUUCGCUUGUGAACUGGUGAUGCUCAAGUAGCUCUUCUCAAUCGAUUUGUUGUGGACAUAUGGGGUUCUCAGUUUGCUAGUAUGAACUGAAUUUGAAGAUAACACUCGAAGCAUUCUUAAAUUGUUUUGUACAACGGCAACAUCAGAUGGAAGUGGGUUUGUUGUCGUGUCCGGAGCUGGGUAUAAAUGGAGUUUCUCGAUUGAGAAACAAAAGCAGCAACAAGAGGCAGUGGUGAUGGUCUCUGCAAUUCAAUGGGUUCGCUGCAAUUCGUGAUUUCUUACACAACAGAUCUGGGGGUUCAAUGCGGUUAAUGGGAUGUGAAUGGAGAUUUAUGAGAGGAUGCAGAUGAUUGAAUGAAAUAGAAGUUUGUGCAGUGAUGGUGGAGAUGGCUGGUUUAUACUUCAAAGUCUUGGUCUCGAUUGAAAAGUAAUUUGGCAGAAGAGAAGCGUGGUUCUGGAUGGGUUAGAUCAGUCGAGCAAAAGCAACACAGAACUGUGGCUUCCAUUGUUACAUCUGCAGGCUAAUGAUGAUGAGAUAAAAGAGUACUGAUGGCAGCAAACAAAGAAAGAAGUGCAGGUGAUGGCUGGUCAAAAUUAGCAGAGAAGAAGUCUUAUCUGCUGGUGGUUUAGUCGAGAUAAAAAUGUCAGUGCAGUGGUUUGAUCAGUCUGGUAUGCUUAUUGCAAGUGCAACUAAGCUGUAGACGGGAGUAAUUUGGAUGAAAUUAGGCUACUGUGAUCGUCGGGCUUUUUCUACCAUGGUGCUGAGCAAGAGAUGGUUCCAGCCAUGAAAUCAAGGUGGUCGGUUUAUGGCGUCCAUGAAUGGAAGAUGGCAGUGAUGGAGAUUGGUGCUGUAACCGGAGUAGAUAUUUGGGUUUUGUACCGAGACUUGGAAAAGGGCCUGAAUUUGGCAACUGGUGUUUACGAUUGGACCGGGCUUUGGCAGAUGUUGGCAGCGGUCAACAAGGGCAUUGAGACACCUAUAAGUAGGAAGACACAGACUCAUAGAGAGGUGGCCGGUUUUUGGGAGUUGUUUUUGACGUCGGCCACAGAGCCGAGAAUAGGAGGAAGAAGAGGCCGGUGACAUAGGCCGUUGGGAGAGACGCCGUUUACAAGGUUUUGGGAGUCGGCUGCUAGGCCGAAAACGAGAGAAGAAAAAGAGGCGCGUCUAGAAGCUAUCAAUAGGGGGAAGAUAAGGGUUUGUGAUUCUUGUGUUUUCAUUUCCAUAUUGAUUAGCUACUGAAUCUCUUUAAUAUGUUUAUGGCUUUUAAUAAAGCCAUGUUUGGCUAAACAUUUUUGUAACUAGGAUUUAUGGUUGAAAUUAUUUGGGGUAUUAGGCUAUUUAAAUUGAUGAAUUUAGCAAAAGACCAUUAUGAUAUGAAUAAACUAAUCUUGAAUAUUGUUUGUUGAUUUAUUGAAAA
Long non-coding RNA from Papaver somniferum (opium poppy), 1985 nucleotides. RefSeq lists it as uncharacterized. NCBI's taxonomy places the organism in Eukaryota, Viridiplantae, Streptophyta, Magnoliopsida, Ranunculales, Papaveraceae. The record is from RefSeq and is a predicted model, not a curated record. The transcript is spliced from 2 exons.